GACGAACGCUGGCGGCGCGCUUAACACAUGCAAGUCGAACGGAAAGGCCUGCUUUCCCUUGUGGAUUGCGGGUACUCGAGUGGCGAACGGGUGAGUAACACGUGAGUGAUCUGCCCCCAACUUGGGUAUAAGCCUGGGAAACUGGGUCUAAUUCCCGGUAGGACUGCAGGGUGGUGCCUGUGGUGGAAAACGAUUUUCUAGUGGUUGGGGAUGAGCUCGCGGCCUAUCAGCUUGUUGGUGGGGUAAUGGCCUACCAAGGCGGCGACGGGUAGCCGGCCUGAGAGGGUGGACGGCCACAUUGGGACUGAGAUACGGCCCAGACUCCUACGGGAGGCAGCAGUGGGGAAUAUUACACAAUGGGCGGAAGCCUGAUGCAGCGACGCCGCGUGGGGGAUGACGGCCUUCGGGUUGUAAACUCCUUUCGACCGCGAGGAAGCCACCUGGUUGGAAGGGUGGUGACGGUAGUGGUAGAAGAAGCACCGGCUAACUACGUG
Molecule: ribosomal RNA, 494 nt
Filed under: uncultured bacterium
Lineage: Bacteria
Description: partial 16S ribosomal RNA
Rfam family: Bacterial small subunit ribosomal RNA
Source: RNAcentral